UCAGGUAUAUUUCUAUUGCUAUUCGGCCAUUCUAUGUGGCUGCACAAUCGACAUCCUAUGUGGCAAACUUUUAAAUUUUAUUUUUAAACCAAAAGUAUAAUUAACGUGUUUUUCCCAAAAAGAGCCCAACUUUUCAUCUUUCCAAUACCAUAAAGAAUGGAUCUACAGAGUACAUUUCAAUCUCUCUCUCUCACCUUAUCCACCGUCGCACUCCGACGGCGGCACCACCGAAAAUUAAAGCCUCAUCUUCUCUGAUAACUUUUGCUAACUUCUUUAAAGAAUAUUGAAUUGAAAAAUUGGUUGCGUCAACCCAAAGGCUGAAUCUCUUUCUUUUUCUUAACUCACCCGUACUCCGACUACAACCACCACCGAUUGCAACUCAUGGGCAGAAGAUUUAUAGGUGCUCGAUUGUUUGAUUUGCCAAGUUUCUCCAAAAGAAGGCGUGGAUGAAUUUAUAGACGCUGCUGCAAAUUAUGAAUGCUAUCAGUGAACGUUGCUGCAAAUUGAUCAAGAAUGCAUUACAUUUUGAACUACUUUUUUGUAGUUUCUCUUUGACCAAAUCAUUCACUUCUAAAUGCUUGUCCUCUCUUAUGUGUACGAAUUCUUGAUAUUCUGUGGAAUUAAAGAGUGUAUAAUGCCUAGCUUCUCGUGUUUAUUAAGUCGACACCAUUCUGUGAAAUUAAACAGUAACAAUAACUAGUUAAAAAGUAAA
Molecule: long non-coding RNA, 712 nt
Organism: Olea europaea var. sylvestris
Lineage: Eukaryota; Viridiplantae; Streptophyta; Magnoliopsida; Lamiales; Oleaceae
Exons: 2
Source: RefSeq, a predicted model, not a curated record